UGAGAAUCAACCAGGAAGCAAGCGUAAGGGCGAUUGAACUGGGGGUGACUUCGCAUGAGAAAGCUGGACAGUCAAAGAAAGGAAAAUCAGGAUUGAAGAGUGGGGCGAGGGAAGAGUUAGAAGCCGGAGGAGAAAGCAAACUGAACCCGAAAGUAAAAGAAAAAAAAUCAAUAAAGAAAAAUUUCAGAAAGCAUGCCAGAGUGAACUUGUUCCAGAAACUGCCAACAGAGGCGGGGAAAGGGGUGGGGGCGCCGAACAAACUGGAAGAACCGAAGUGAAGGAAGGAAGAGAGAGAAGACGGGAUGCAAAUUAAACCAGACACGACACAGACACAGAUAAUUCUGGAAUCACAAUGGCUGCCCAUCCUUUACUCUAAGUAAAGUAUAGGAUAUUGGUUCCAAGGAUAUGGUCUCCUCAUCACAGAUGCAUCAGGACUGCUAACAGGUGUCUGAGCUCUGUGCUUCCUCAUCCGUAACAUGAGGCUUUAGCAAGACUAACCAUGGCAGUUACUCUCAGAUCCAAGAAGGAGAAAGAUUCUCUGUGGGAGCCUACGUGAUCCUAGUUGUUAACUCCAGCAAAAGCCCCCCAUCUCCUUCCCCUUCUAGGGAAGAAACCCUAUUAACUUUU
This is a long non-coding RNA of Onychomys torridus (southern grasshopper mouse), 627 nucleotides long. RefSeq lists it as uncharacterized. The transcript is spliced from 4 exons. Lineage: Eukaryota; Metazoa; Chordata; Mammalia; Rodentia; Cricetidae. The record is from RefSeq and is a predicted model, not a curated record.